AAUGGAAAUUAACAUUUAUUGGUUACCAGUUAUAUGCCAGGCAUUGUGCUUGGCACUCUUCACACUUUAUUUAAACUGUUAAUACUUGGAAUCUUUUAACACAGUGCCUAGCACAUAGUAAGCUCCCAAAUGUUUGCUGCUGUUGUUACCUCUUUACAACCAUAUAAUCCAUUCUCCAAAUACAUUGUGGGAGGAUAUAAACUUAUAAUAAAGACAUUAUAAUCCUUGCCUUAUGGACAAGGAAACUGAGGCUCAGAGAAGGUAUUUAUUUUGGCUAAUACAGUAGGUGGUAUAUUGUAAAACUGAGUUAAUCACAAUUUAAAGUCUCUUCAAGCUACUGAUAAGACAUCUGGUUAUACAUAAAAAUUCGAAGCUUACCUGAGUGAUCCUUUAUGUUUUUAAUAGAACAUCACUCAUGGCCUGUUCUCAAGAAAAUUACAGUAAUUGCAAAUCCUGAAAAAGUGAAGUCAAAAAAUAGACAUUCAGUUUUCCUACUGUAGCCCUGUGGAAAUUCUGUAGGUAUUGAGAACCUCUGGGGUCAGAGGAAACAGAUCAAGGUGACCCUUCAAAGCUCAAACAAUUCACUUCAAACAAACAUGGAGAAAGUACUGUUCACAAGUGAAUCAUUUCUCAUACUGAUGAAUGAAUAGAGUGUGUGUGUCACUUCUAUAUAGCUAGGACUUCAAUUAGACAGUAGCAUUGAGGGAGAGGAAGUGGGCUCUGAGGGUAUGGUCCUCAUCAUCUCUGACAUCUCCUGGCCACAUUAAUUCACUGAGCUUCUUAUGCACAUGACUAGUUUUGAGUAUGUGAAUUUGCUGAAAGGGAAACAUCCAAAGAAUGGUACCCCCUCAACAAGAUAGCUCAAGGGCAAGGACAACCUUUACUUCACUAUCCCAUAUAAUCACUCGUAUAGCCAAUAUAAAAUAAUAAUUACUACAAAUGAUAUUUUUUCCUAAAUUCCUACAAUUUAGAUUACAUUAAUUUUCAAAAAAUAAAUAUGCUUUACAGGAAGGUACAGAGAACAUAAAAAUAUAAAUAUUAAAGAAUAAAUGAUAAAAUAUGCUUCUUCAAGUAGUGAGCAUUGAACUGACUUGGUUCAAUUCUGAAUUUAGUUCUUUUUUUUGUUUCUGGGCAACUCUUAAAAUUUGAAGCCCAUGUAACAUAUACAAAAUGAUGUGUUUAAUGACAGGUUAUUUUCUGAGCUUCAAGUACAUGCAUAAAGAAAAAAAUACAGAAUAUUUUAUUCUAGAAAAAUAGGAUGAUAUAGGUCCUAAAUGUUCUUUGGGACUACUUUAAAUAACCAAUAUAACUAUCAAUGCAAACUUGGCACCCAGAUCUACUCUACUUACACCCCAAAUCAUAGUUUUACACAGUAUGUUUCACAAAGUACUGGGAAUAUCUUAGGCACUCAAGAACAAAUUGGUGGAGGGAGUGGGAAGGGCUGGGAGUUUGGGGUUUGUAGAUGCUAAAUAUUGCAUUUGGAGAGGAUAAGCAACUAGCUCCUGCUGUACAGCACAGGGAAUUAUAUCUAGUCAUUGUGAUAGAACAUGUAAUGAGAGAAAAAGAAUGUAUAUAUAUAUAUAUAUAUUUAUAUAUGUAUGACUGGGUCACUCUGCUGUAUAGCAGAAAUUGAGAGAACAUUGUAAAUCAACUAUAAUAAAAAACCUUAAAAAAAAAAGAACAAAUUGAUUAAAGACAUUUCAGUUUUAUCUUUUACCCAUUGGCUUCUAGCUAUACUUUACAUACCCUGAAUUUUUGCUAGAUAAGCCUUGUCCUCAAGUCACAAAAAAUUUCAUGGGAGAAAGCAAUAAGGUUUAAUUUUUAUGGAUAUUUUACAUGCUUUGAGAUAUUCAUCAAGAAGUCUAGAACCACAAUGUCUUAUGUAAUUUAAAAUUUAUCAGCAGCCAUAUUAAACAAUGGAUAAAUAGGGAAAUUAAUUUAACUCCAAAUAUCAAAAAUCCUUCAACAUGCAUAUAAAAAACUGAGAUGCUUUAUUUUUCCAUACUAAAUCUUUGAAAUUAAGUAUGCAGAGCUGUUUGUACAAACCACAUUUCAAGUGCUCAAUAGCCAUUGGUGGCAAGUACCUACUGUAUUAGAACAUGGCUAUAGUCUAAGCCCUUUCUAUCUCCAGUGUAAUAGUCAUCUUAAAAUGUACAAAAACAAAGCACAUAAAAGUGAAUCCAAAGUAAUAAUACCCUGUUAAAAUAGCAAGUGAAAGGUUAAAUGUUAGUGUUUCAUUUUUUCUAAUUAUUUAAACAAGAAAUUUUCUUUUGAGAGGCUUUGCUAGUUUCUUGACAUCAGUUUUACAAAUGGCCUUGAAAACUUUUCAUUAUCCCAUCAAAAGCCUUUUCUGGGUACUAGGUUAUCUUUCCAUUUGAAUUACUCGUCAUUCAAUAAAUAUCUGGUGACAACCAUCUGCAAAACAUUAUGCUAAGUGCACUAAAGAAAAGUAAAAGACAUCCCAUCUCUGCUUUCACAAAGCUUUCAAACUAGAAAGAAAGGGAGAGUGAAAAACAUGUGAGAGUUUCUCUCUGUAUUUUAUUUUACUGUAUCACUGUGUCUUUUUCUCCAAUUUUUUAACAACAAAGGGAAUGGACUUCUGGUUCUUAUCUUCCCAGGGCCUGAUGAAAUGUCUUAGUAUCUGAGAAAUUCACCAUAAUAAAUUAUUGUAUGUUAUUUUCUAGAUCAGAGGUCCCUACCAAGUACAUAAAGAAAUAUUUCAUCUUCCCUAAGAACAGGAAAACUGUAAGGCAGAAAAGUUAUCUAUGACAGGCCUUAAAGGAUCUGACAAAGACAGAAGAUGGUGAGGUUUGAAGAAAACAAGUUUCUACCGUUAAGUAUGAAGAUAGAAAAGUUUAUCACGUAUAAGAACUGUUUGCUUAUUAAAUGCACAAAGUGAAUUAAAAAAAGAGACUAAAUGACCUGAGAAUAUCAUUUAUAGAAAUAAAAAUGGAACCUUUAAGGAAGUAAAGGGGGGAGGAUGAUGCUGCAUGAGCUGUUUUUUUGGGGGGGAGGUGGAGGGGAGUGACAUUAUGUGUAACCAGUUGCAGUUGUUAACACUUUAAAGCAAAACAGCAGCAGCAAUAACCCUCCCCACGUCGGAGGGUACAGUAGCAGUGUUCCUCAUUUUCUUACCUUUGGGAUAACACCUACUACAUCCAUUUAAGAACUUUAAUAAUUCCACAAUCUGCUGUCACCUAGAAUAAUUUUUAUGCGCAGGGUGAGGAAUAAGAAAUCUAGUAGAGUAACAUGCUUUUUAUUUUACCAUCAUGCAUAUAAGGAAAGACAAAUAUACCAACGAUAUACCUUCAACCUGACAGAGCCAUCUCAUAAGUAUUUAGACUAUUUAGGAAAAGGGACACAUCAAUUACUAAGUUGCUAACAGGGCAAAGUAUCAAGUAAGACAAUUAAGCCACACAUUUUUAGUGAGUUAUUUUUCCAUGACAACAGUUUCCAAAGUCCUAAAAAUACGACAAGUUUUUCAAAUUAUAUUUCUAAGGAUACACUUUUUAACAGAAAUAAUAAGUUGAAAAUCAUUAGGCAUAUUCAGUUAAAGUCUCUAUAUUGUACAGGAAAAUAAGACUGUUAUUUUUCCAAAUGUUUCCAACUGAAAGCAAAAGGAAGCCUAUACAGCUCAAUUUUCUCAGCAGAAACCAGGGAAAAUAGCAGGAUUUUACCAUACACAAGUGAAAUAAGAGACAAAUUAUUAAUCUU
This 3714-nucleotide long non-coding RNA is filed under the name Sus scrofa (pig). Its description in RNAcentral is "lncRNA (ENSSSCG00000062560.1)". Lineage: Eukaryota; Metazoa; Chordata; Mammalia; Artiodactyla; Suidae. The record is from RNAcentral.